AUGGCUGGUCCGGCGAAGGCGUCGUGGAUGGUGGCCAUGAGCGUGGGCGCCGUGGAGGCGCUCAAGGACCAGGCUGGCCUCUGCCGCUGGAACUAUGCCCUCAAGUCCAUCCACCGGGCAGCCAAGGCCAACGUCCGCGCCAGCGUCUCGCAAGGCACGAAGCAGCUUCCGGCCUCCGUGGUGGAGAGGCGGCAAGCGGAGAAGGCCGAAGAGGAGCUGAGGACGGUCAUGUACCUCAGCUGCUGGGGCCCAAAUUAG
Molecule: ribosomal RNA, 258 nt
Filed under: Triticum aestivum (bread wheat)
Lineage: Eukaryota; Viridiplantae; Streptophyta; Magnoliopsida; Poales; Poaceae
Description: partial small subunit ribosomal RNA
Source: RNAcentral